This 478-nucleotide ribosomal RNA is filed under the name uncultured bacterium. Its description in RNAcentral is "bacterial SSU rRNA". It matches the Rfam family "Bacterial small subunit ribosomal RNA", at positions 29 to 482 of the family's 1533-position model. The record is from RNAcentral.
AACUAACGCUGGCGGCGUGCCUAACACAUGCAAGUCGUACGAGAAAGUCGGCUUCGGCCGAUGAGUAAAGUGGCGCACGGGUGAGUAAUGCGUGGAUAAUCUGCCCUUGAGUUCGGAAUAACGUACCGAAAGGUGCGCUAAUACCGGAUAAUACUGCACAACUACUGUUGUGUAGUCAAAGAUGGCCUCUGUUUACAAGCUUUUGCUGAAGGAUGAGUCCGCGUACCAUUAGCUAGUUGGUGGGGUAAUGGCCUACCAAGGCGACGAUGGUUAGCUGGUCUGAGAGGAUGAUCAGCCACACUGGAACUGAGACACGGUCCAGACUCCUACGGGAGGCAGCAGUGAGGAAUAUUGCGCAAUGGGGGCAACCCUGACGCAGCAACGCCGCGUGAGUGAGGAAGGUUUUCGGACCGUAAAGCUCUGUCGAGCGGGAAGAAAUGCAUGGUGGCUAAUAUCCAUCAUGCUUGACGGUACCGCU